CAAGACCCCUUUUGUGCAGUCUUCCGCCACAAUUGAACAAGGGUCCGCAAAAUCUGUGCCAACGAACAGGUCGCACUUGGAACGCCCGCGUCGCGUGAAAUCCACGAGCUGCCGUCCGUGUAGCCACUGCUGACAGGAAAGCGAUUUCUCGUCGCAGUCAUAAGUUUAGGCUACAGCAACCGCUAUUGUCAGCUGAUCGAUGAGCAUCGGGUCCGUUGUGGAAAUUAUCAGCAGGAAAAAUCUGUAUUUCAAACACAAAAUAAACUGUAGAUUAAUGCA
RNAcentral lists this small RNA (279 nucleotides) under Histoplasma capsulatum. RNAcentral's name for it is "hypothetical RNA". Lineage: Eukaryota; Fungi; Ascomycota; Eurotiomycetes; Onygenales; Ajellomycetaceae. RNAcentral also lists the same sequence under 1 other name. The record is from RNAcentral.